Molecule: ribosomal RNA, 253 nt
Filed under: uncultured bacterium
Lineage: Bacteria
Description: partial 16S ribosomal RNA
Rfam family: Bacterial small subunit ribosomal RNA
Source: RNAcentral
UACGUAGGGGGCUAGCGUUGUCCGGAAUCAUUGGGCGUAAAGAGCGUGUAGGCGGUCCGGUAAGUCCGUUGUGAAAGUCAGGGGCUCAACCCUUGAAUGCCGGCGGAUACUGUCGGGCUAGAGUCCGGAAGAGGCGAGUGGAAUUCCCGGUGUAGCGGUGAAAUGCGCAGAUAUCGGGAGGAACACCUAUGGCGAAGGCGGUUCUCUGGGACGGGACUGACGCUGAGACGCGAAAGCGUGGGGAGCGAACAGG